ACCGCCAGCUAAGGUCCCAAAGUCAUGGUUAAGUGGGAAACGAUGUGGGAAGGCCCAGACAGCCAGGAUGUUGGCUUAGAAGCAGCCAUCAUUUAAAGAAAGCGUAAUAGCUCACUGGUCGAGUCGGCCUGCGCGGAAGAUGUAACGGGGCUAAACCAUGCACCGAAGCUGCGGCAGCGACACUAUGUGUUGUUGGGUAGGGGAGCGUUCUGUAAGCCUGUGAAGGUGGCCUGUGAGGGUUGCUGGAGGUAUCAGAAGUGCGAAUGCUGACAUAAGUAACGAUAAAGCGGGUGAAAAGCCCGCUCGCCGGAAGACCAAGGGUUCCUGUCCAACGUUAAUCGGGGCAGGGUGAGUCGACCCCUAAGGCGAGGCCGAAAGGCGUAGUCGAUGGGAAACAGGUUAAUAUUCCUGUACUUGGUGUUACUGCGAAGGGGGGACGGAGAAGGCUAUGUUGGCCGGGCGACGGUUGUCCCGGUUUAAGCGUGUAGGCUGGUUUUCCAGGCAAAUCCGGAAAACCAAGGCUGAGGCGUGAUGACGAAGCACUACGGUGCUGAAGCGACAAAUGCCCUGCUUCCAGGAAAAGCCUCUAAGCAUCAGGUAACAUCAAAUCGUACCCCAAACCGACACAGGUGGUCAGGUAGAGAAUACCAAGGCGCUUGAGAGAACUCGGGUGAAGGAACUAGGCAAAAUGGUGCCGUAACUUCGGGAGAAGGCACGCUGAUAUGUAGGUGAAGCGACUUGCUCGUGGAGCUGAAAUCAGUCGAAGAUACCAGCUGGCUGCAACUGUUUAUUAAAAACACAGCACUGUGCAAACACGAAAGUGGACGUAUACGGUGUGACGCCUGCCCGGUGCCGGAAGGUUAAUUGAUGGGGUUAGCGGUAACGCGAAGCUCUUGAUCGAAGCCCCGGUAAACGGCGGCCGUAACUAUAACGGUCCUAAGGUAGCGAAAUUCCUUGUCGGGUAAGUUCCGACCUGCACGAAUGGCGUAAUGAUGGCCAGGCUGUCUCCACCCGAGACUCAGUGAAAUUGAACUCGCUGUGAAGAUGCAGUGUACCCGCGGCAAGACGGAAAGACCCCGUGAACCUUUACUAUAGCUUGACACUGAACAUUGAGCCUUGAUGUGUAGGAUAGGUGGGAGGCUUUGAAGUGUGGACGCCAGUCUGCAUGGAGCCGACCUUGAAAUACCACCCUUUAAUGUUUGAUGUUCUAACGUUAGCCCGUAAUCCGGGUUGCGGACAGUGUCUGGUGGGUAGUUUGACUGGGGCGGUCUCCUCCUAAAGAGUAACGGAGGAGCACGAAGGUUGGCUAAUCCUGGUCGGACAUCAGGAGGUUAGUGCAAUGGCAUAAGCCAGCUUGACUGCGAGCGUGACGGCGCGAGCAGGUGCGAAAGCAGGUCAUAGUGAUCCGGUGGUUCUGAAUGGAAGGGCCAUCGCUCAACGGAUAAAAGGUACUCCGGGGAUAACAGGCUGA
RNAcentral lists this ribosomal RNA (1471 nucleotides) under human gut metagenome. RNAcentral describes it as "bacterial LSU rRNA". It matches the Rfam family "Bacterial large subunit ribosomal RNA", at positions 1031 to 2485 of the family's 2925-position model. The record is from RNAcentral.